Non-coding RNA from Sus scrofa (pig), 931 nucleotides. Lineage: Eukaryota; Metazoa; Chordata; Mammalia; Artiodactyla; Suidae. The record is from RefSeq and is a predicted model, not a curated record.
UCCAGCAUACUGCUAUAACCCGACUUUUGGUUUUCUUUUGUUUCCUACUUGUAUUUUCCCUUGCUGAUGAACUUUAUCAAUAUUUUUAAAAAUCCUGUUGUAAUACAUGAAUUUACAUGACCCACGUCACAUCCUCUUUAGAAGUAGACAGUCUAUGUAACUGACCACACUACUACCUUAGUUAUUUAUUAGCAGAGGAAGGCAGUACAAACAAUGAAUAUUACUCCCUGUUGAAAACACUGUCUCUGACCAUUUUAGAGCACAUGAAGGAAGAGUGGACUCAAGCUCGGCCUGGCUUACCAGGUUUCUUGACUGUGAUGAUCUACAAGAGCAGGUCUGCGUCUUACAUACACUGAAAAUGAAGAAUUCAGAACUCAAUUCUAAACUUAAGCCAAGGUGCAAAAGAAGGAAGAAAAGAUCAAGGAACUCAGAACAGAAUUCCAGCAAAACUGAACCCAGCAGACUUUCUGAGGACUUCAAGCCUGGGAGGAAGCCUCUUAUAUACCUCUGAGGGACUGUUCCAAAGAGCACCUCUCCCGUCUCCUGAGGAUGUGGUAGUGGGGCUGAAAAGUCCCUAACUCUUAAUCAUAGCUUGGUCUUUCUAGUGACCAGCCCCUAUCCAGGAGCUAUUGAAGAGCCCACCCAGAGUUACUUCAUCAGAACAAAAGAUGUUCCUAGGGCUGUUAUCAGUUAAAAAUUUAUAAGGGUUUUAGGAGUCCUGUGCCAGACUGAGGGCAGAGACUAAUAUAUAUUUUCUAUUACCUUACACUACCUUUCAAAGAAACACAUUUAGAAGAAAUCCAUAGGUUCUACAUCAAUGCCAGGGCAGCACAACUGGGCCAGGCAGAGAUAAUGGGACACAAAAAGGAUUUUUUUUUUUUUGGUCUUUUUAGGGCAGCACCCACAGCAUAUGGAAGUUCCCAGGCUAGGG